RNAcentral lists this transfer RNA (77 nucleotides) under Klebsiella aerogenes. Its description in RNAcentral is "tRNA-Val". It matches the Rfam family "tRNA". From Rfam's summary of the family: Transfer RNA (tRNA) molecules are approximately 80 nucleotides in length. Their secondary structure includes four short double-helical elements and three loops (D, anti-codon, and T loops). The record is from RNAcentral. Lineage: Bacteria; Pseudomonadati; Pseudomonadota; Gammaproteobacteria; Enterobacterales; Enterobacteriaceae. RNAcentral also lists the same sequence under 3 other names.
GCGUUUAUAGCUCAGUUGGUUAGAGCACCACCUUGACAUGGUGGGGGUCGGUGGUUCGAGUCCACUCGGACGCACCA